Molecule: ribosomal RNA, 446 nt
Filed under: uncultured bacterium
Lineage: Bacteria
Description: partial 16S ribosomal RNA
Rfam family: Bacterial small subunit ribosomal RNA
Source: RNAcentral
CCUACGGGUGGCAGCAGUCGAGAAUCAUUCACAAUUGGGGAAACCCUGAUGGUGCGACGCCGCGUGGGGGAAUGAAGGUCUUCGGAUUGUAAACCCCUGUCAUGUGGGAGCAAAUUAAAAAGAUAGUACCACACGAGGAAGAGACGGCUAACUCUGUGCCAGCAGCCGCGGUAAUACAGAGGUCUCAAGCGUUGUUCGGAAUCACUGGGCGUAAAGCGUGCGUAGGCUGUUUCGUAAGUCGUGUGUGAAAGGCGCGGGCUCAACCCGCGGACGGCACAUGAUACUGCGAGACUAGAGUAAUGGAGGGGGAACCGGAAUUCUCGGUGUAGCAGUGAAAUGCGUAGAUAUCGAGAGGAACACUCGUGGCGAAGGCGGGUUCCUGGACAUUAACUGACGCUGAGGCACGAAGGCCAGGGGAGCGAAAGGGAUUAGAUACCCGAGUAGUC